This 1678-nucleotide ribosomal RNA is filed under the name Pantodon buchholzi (freshwater butterflyfish). Its description in RNAcentral is "16S ribosomal RNA". It matches the Rfam family "Bacterial large subunit ribosomal RNA". Lineage: Eukaryota; Metazoa; Chordata; Actinopteri; Osteoglossiformes; Pantodontidae. The record is from RNAcentral.
GCUACAAAGCUAGCCGAACUAUUUAAACCCUGGACCAAAUACUCAACUACAUAUAGCCAGACAACAUAUUAAAAAUACUAACUAAAACAUUCUUCCAUCUUAGUAUAGGAGAUAGAAAAGAAAAUUUUCGAGCCACAAAAAUAGUACCGCAAGGGAAAGCUGAAAAAGAAAUGAAACAACCCAUUCAAGCAUAAAAAAGCAGAGAUUUAGCCUCGUACCUUUUGCAUCAUGACUUAGCCAGAAUACUUAAGCAAAGAGAACUUUAGUUUAAUUUCCCGAAACUAAACGAGCUACUCCGAGACAGCUUUAAUGAGAGCCAACCCGUCUCUGUAGCAAAAGAGUGGGAUGAUCCCUGAGUAGAGGUGACAAACCUAACGAGUUUAGUUAUAGCUGGUUGCUUAAAAAAUGAAUAUAAGUUCAGCCUUACACUCUCCUAAAUCAAAAACAAAGAAUUAAAGAGCCUACGUAAGAGUUAAUUGAAGGAGGUACAGCUCCUUCAAAAAAGAAAACAACCUUCACAGAUGGGCAAGGAUUAUAUUAAUUAAGGCACUCUACUACAGUGGGCUUGAAAGCAGCCACCUGUAAAGAAAGCGUUAAAGCUCAAGUAAAACAUAAGCCUAUUAUUACAAUAAAAAUCUCCAACCCCACUAAAAAUAUUAAGCCGCCCUAUGUAACCAUAGAAAAGACAAUGCUAAGAUUAGUAACAGGAAGAAAUGAUCUUCUCCAAGCGCACGUGUUCAUCAGACCGGACAACCCACUGAUAAAUAAAAGAACCCAAUCAAAGAGGGAAUCACAAUAUAAAACAUAAACAAGAAAAACAUGAGCAAAAUUAUCGUCAACCCAACACAGGAGCGCACUACAAGGAAUGACUAAAUGGAGAAAAAGGAACUCGGCAAACACGGGCCUCGCCUGUUUACCAAAAACAUGGCCUCUUGCAACCCAAACAUAAGAGGUCCAGCCUGCCCAGUGACAUAUAAGUUAAACGGCCGCAGUAUUUUAACCGCGCUAAGGUAGCGUAAUCACUUGUCUUUUAAAUGAAGACCCGUAUGAAAGGCACCACGAGGGCCCUACUGUCUCCUUCCCCAAGUCUAUGAAAUUGAUCUGCCCGUGCAGAAGCGGACAUAAAUACAUAAGACGAGAAGACCCUAUGGAGCUUUAGACAUAAGUCAAUCAUGCCUAAACACUAUAAAUAAAUAACAAAGCAUAAUGACACUGACCCACUUGUCUUCGGUUGGGGCGACCAAGGAGGAAAACACAGCCUCCUAGAAGAAUUAAGAUUAAUUAUCUUAAAGAACCGAGAGCUACUGCUCUAAGCAACAGAAAAUUCUGACUACACAGAUCCGAAUUAUCGAUUAACGAACCAAGUUACCCUAGGGAUAACAGCGCAAUCCUUUUUAAGAGCCCAUAUCGACAAAAGGGUUUACGACCUCGAUGUUGGAUCAGGACAUCCUAGUGGCGAAAAUUUUACUAAGGGUUCGUUUGUUCAACGAUUAAAGUCCUACGUGAUCUGAGUUCAGACCGGAGAAAUCCAGGUCAGUUUCUAUCUAUGACAUGACCCUUCCCAGUACGAAAGGACCGGAAGAAAUGAGGCCAAUACUACAAGCACGCCUCACCUCUACCUGUUGAAAACAACUAAAACAAUAAAGGGGCAUAACAAGCUCGCUAAAAAUAACAGCAA